AAGAAGAGUUUGAUCCUGGCUCAGGAUGAACGCUAGCGGCAGGCUUAACACAUGCAAGUCGAGGGGCAGCGUGGGGCAGCAAUGCUCUGACGGCGACCGGCGGAAGGGUGCGUAACACGUGAGCGACUUGCCCGUCACAGGGGGAUAACCGGCGGAAACGGCGACUAAUACCCCAUAUGAUGUGAUGCUGCAUGGCAUCGCAUUGAAAGAUUCAUCGGUGGCGGAUAGGCUCGCGGGACAUUAGCUAGACGGCGGGGCAACGGCCCACCGUGGCGACGAUGUCUAGGGGUUCUGAGAGGAAGACCCCCCACACUGGGACUGAGACACGGCCCAGACUCCUACGGGAGGCAGCAGUGAGGAAUAUUGGUCAAUGGGCGGAAGCCUGAACCAGCCAUGCCGCGUGAAGGACUAAGGCCCUACGGGUCGUAAACUUCUUUAGACGCAGAGCAAUAAGGUCCACGCGUGGACCGAUGAGAGUAUGCGUAGAAUAAGCAUCGGCUAACUCCGUGCCAGCAGCCGCGGUAAUACGGGGGAUGCGAGCGUUAUCCGGAUUCAUUGGGUUUAAAGGGUGCGUAGGCGGCCGAGUAAGUCAGCGGUGAAAGACCGGGGCUCAACCCUGGAAGUGCCGUUGAUACUGUUUGGCUGGAAUGAUCCCGCCGCGGGAGGAAUGAGUGGUGUAGCGGUGAAAUGCAUAGAUAUCACUCAGAACACCGAUUGCGAAGGCAUCUCGCGAGGGGUCAAUUGACGCUGAGGCACGAAAGCGUGGGGAUCGAACAGGAUUAGAUACCCUGGUAGUCCACGCAGUAAACGAUGAUGGCUAACUGUCGGGCCUGCGGGUUCGGCGGCCAAGCGAAAGCGAUAAGCCAUCCACCUGGGGAGUACGACCGCAAGGUUGAAACUCAAAGGAAUUGACGGGGGCCCGCACAAGCGGAGGAACAUGUGGUUUAAUUCGAUGAUACGCGAGGAACCUUACCCAGGCUCGAACGGCAGUUGAAUUGAGUAGAGAUAUUCAAGUCUUCGGACAGCUGUCGAGGUGCUGCAUGGUUGUCGUCAGCUCGUGCCGUGAGGUGUCGGCUUAAGUGCCAUAACGAGCGCAACCCUUGCCUUCAGUUGCCAUCAGGUAGAGCUGGGCACUCUGGAGGGACUGCCACCGCAAGGUGUGAGGAAGGGGGGGAUGACGUCAAAUCAGCACGGCCCUUACGUCUGGGGCGACACACGUGUUACAAUGGCGGCUACAGAAGGAGGCUACCCCGCGAGGGGAUGCGGAUCUUAAAAGGCCGUCUCAGUUCGGACUGGAGUCUGCAACCCGACUCCACGAAGCUGGAUUCGCUAGUAAUCGCGCAUCAGCCAUGGCGCGGUGAAUACGUUCCCGGGCCUUGUACACACCGCCCGUCAAGCCAUGAAAGCCGGUGGCGCCUGAAGUACGUGACCGCAAGGAGCGUCCUAGGGCGAAAACGGUAAUUGGGGCUAAGUCGUAACAAGGUAGCCGUACCGGAAGGUGUGGCUGGAACACCUCCUU
RNAcentral lists this ribosomal RNA (1519 nucleotides) under human gut metagenome. Its description in RNAcentral is "Bacterial small subunit ribosomal RNA". It matches the Rfam family "Bacterial small subunit ribosomal RNA". The record is from RNAcentral.